GGCGAACGCUGGCGGCACGCCUCAUACAUGCAAGUCGAGCGAUCGGCCGCUGGGUGCUUGCACCCGGCGGUACGGAGCGGCGAACGGGUGAGUAACACGUGGGCAACCUGCCUCGAGGACCGGGAUAACUCCGGGAAACUGGGGCUAAUACCGGAUGUGCUUUCUGGGCCGCAUGGUCCGUUAAGCAAAUGGUUCUUCCGCCUCGAGAGGGGCCCGCGGCCUAUCAGCUUGUUGGUGGGGUAAUGGCCUACCAAGGCUUUGACGGGUAGCCGGCCUAAGAGGGUGUUCGGCCACACCGGGACUGAGACACGGCCCGGACUCCUACGGGAGGCAGCAGUAGGGGAUCUUGCACAAUGGGCGAAAGCCUGAUGCAGCGAUGCCGCGUGAGGGAUGAAGGCCUUCGGGUCGUAAACCUCUUUCAGUAGGGAAGAAGCCACGGGUCACCGUGGUGACGGUACCUGCAGAAGAAGCCCCGGCUAACUACGUGCCAGCAGCCGCGGUAAAACGUAGGGGGCAAGCGUUGCCCGGAUUCACUGGGCGUAAAGCGGGUGUAGGCGGUUCCUUAAGUCAGAUGUGAAAUCCUACGGCUCAACCGUGGAACUGCAUCUGAUACUGGGGAACUUGAGGACGGUAGAGGUCGGUGGAAUUCCCGGUGUACCGGUGAAAUGGGCAGAUAUCGGGAGGAACACCAGUGGCGAAGGCGGCCGACUGGGCCGAUCCUGACGCUGAGACCCGAAAGCCAGGGUAGCGAACCGGAUUAGAUACCCUGGUAGUCCUAGCUGUAAACGGUGCUCACUUGCUGUAGACGGAAUCGACCCCGUCUGUGGCGAAGCUAACGCGUUAAGUGAGCCGCCUGGGGAGUACGGUCGCAAGAUUAAAACUCAAAGAAGUUGACGGGGGCCUGCACAAGCGGUGGAGUAUGUGGCUUAAUUCGAUGCAACGCGAAGAACCUUACCUGGCCUUGACAUGUAGGUGGUAGAAGUCUGAAAGGAUGACGACCCCGCAAGGGGAGCUUACACAGGUGCUGCAUGGCUGUCGUCAGCUCGUGUCGUGAGAUGUUGGGUUAAGUCCCGCAACGAGCGCAACCCCUGCGUCCUGUUGCCACCCCCUCGAGAGAGGGGAGCACUCUGGACGGACUGCCUCACUCAAAUGGGGAGGAAGGUGGGGAUGACGUCAAGUCAGGAUGGCCCUUACGGCCAGGGCUGCACACGUACUACAAUGCCCGGCACAAUGGGAAGCAAGACCGCGAGGUGGAGCAAAUCCUAAAAACCGGGCUCAGUUCAGAUUGAAGGCUGCAACUCGCCUUCAUGAAGCUGGAAUCGCUAGUAAUGGCGCAUCAGCUACGGCGCCGUGAAUACGUUCCCAGGCCU
Molecule: ribosomal RNA, 1370 nt
Filed under: uncultured bacterium
Lineage: Bacteria
Description: 16S ribosomal RNA
Rfam family: Bacterial small subunit ribosomal RNA
Source: RNAcentral